Molecule: long non-coding RNA, 995 nt
Organism: Tachysurus fulvidraco (yellow catfish)
Lineage: Eukaryota; Metazoa; Chordata; Actinopteri; Siluriformes; Bagridae
Exons: 4
Source: RefSeq, a predicted model, not a curated record
GUGACCACAGAAUUCAUUUUUCUGCACUGUUUUAAUAAAAAGAGUUUUUCACUUCAGGGUUUGUAAAGGAGGCGUAUACAAGCGUGGAUAUUUUUUAUUAAAGAAGAUAAAAAAUGACAACAAAAGCUUGAGAAAGAAUCACACAGGUCCUGAAACAGGUGUGUGUCAGACAGGGUCAUGUGAUCAUCACGUGGCAUCACCAUGACAACCUCCAGGUUACAUGGUAGUUAAAGCUGUAACUAAGUGACCCACACAUAUGUACCACAUGAUAUAAAAAAAACAACAACAAAAAACAACAGAAGAGAAAAUAAAAAAGAGAACGUCAGCUCGUCACAUGAACCAUUCUUACAAGCCUGACUCCAGUUCAUCAAAUUCCAAAGCUGUUGUGUUUAACAUUUAGUGAAGACUGACAGAGACUUCUGCAGAAAAGCCUUUCGGUAACAUCUGCUGUCAUGGAAACAGGAAAAGCGCUGGGUUUUGUACAACAGGUCCCGCAUAUACACAGCCUUGGAUUAUCACCAUGCUGUAACGUUUCCUCUACAGAAGAUGGACUGAAUCAUUUGGAGCCGUACAGUAGAGAUGGACUCGGGAGACUGAUCAGAAAUACCGGCUGUUGUAGCUGAAGUUCUCAGAAGAUCAGGCUGAAAACUUACUAAAGUCUUCAGUUACUAAAAGUCACCAACUCCAUAUCAUCACACUACCAACACUGUGUGCACUUCGGACCAGACAUAACAUCUUCCAAAAACCUCCAAACGUGAUGAGAACAAUGCUCUCUGGACUCGUGAGUCGAACAUGUCGAACACGGAACUAUUUUAUGGUUUCACCUAAGGGGUGGUUUUCAGAUUGAGUCUUUAAAGGAGGCAUUUAAUUUUUCAUACAUGGCCAGCUGGUGAUGGAGAACUUUUUAAUUCAACUCAGGUUGUCUUUGUCUUAUAAAAAUUAGUUUAAAUAUCUGAAUUGUAACGAAUACUCAAAAAUAAAAAUGGAGUACUUUU